RNAcentral lists this long non-coding RNA (1363 nucleotides) under Salmo salar (Atlantic salmon). Its description in RNAcentral is "lncRNA (ENSSSAG00000100492.1)". Lineage: Eukaryota; Metazoa; Chordata; Actinopteri; Salmoniformes; Salmonidae. The record is from RNAcentral.
GUGGCUGCAUCAUGUUCUGGGUAUGCUUCUCAUCGGCAAGACUAGAGUUUUUUUUCAGGAUAAAAUAAACACAAUAGAGAUUAGCACAGGCAAAAUCCUAGAGGAAAACCAGGGGCCUGUUGCACAAAAGUAGAAUUAAGACAUCCGGGAUAAAUGACUCAGCUGAGCUCAAUGAAGCCAAAACAUGUGCGUCCAGGCUUAAUUGGUUGCACAAAGACCAAGCCAGGAUGAGCAGACACGGAUUCAUUAAACCAGGUGAAACCAAUCCUGGAUAGGUGCGCGCUCACGGCUCACUCAAAUAGACCCCGCCACAGAUCACAGAUUAACUGAUUUACCAUGGCAACUAGAGCCGCGUACUUUUCCCCGUCGGAAGCACAAAUCCUCAUGGAGGCAUACGAGGAGGUAAAAUAUAUAAUUAAGAAGAAAGGCAACACCGCCACAGUGAUAAAGCAAUUUGAAAAAGCGUGGCAAAGUAUUGCAGACCGCCUGAAUGCAUUAAACAUGAACGGGCCAAAACGGACAUGGCAGCAGGUCAAAAUCAAAUACAAGAACAUUCUGCAGAAUGCAGUGAAAAAGAAUACCCACAGACAAGGCACGGGUGGUGGGUCACCAAAGGCUGACCUUACCCCAGCAGAGGACAUGGCCUUGGAGCUAAAUAAAGGCAGGCCCGUCUUAGAGGGGAUCCCUGGGGGGAAAGAGACGAGCAUAGGUUCCUCCCAAGAUGCCACCCGCUUCAUUCAAGUGUCUGGCAGCACUGUGUUCCUGUUAGAGCCACCAGCACAAGCACCAGACGAUGCUGAUCCAGGUGAAGGCCCCAGUGCAGCAGCAACAGCACAUGAUGGAGACGAUGAUGAGGAGGAGACCAUCUCUCUGGAUUCCAGAAGGCAUGAGGACCCAGAUGCUAUACAGUGGGAAAACCAGCCUGGCAACAUAGUGCGUAUUAAUAAAAGGACACCACAUCCUGCCAAAUUCCAGCUGCGCUAAUUGUAUUGUGUUCACAGAGCUCACAAGCUAUCAGAAAGUUGUAUGGCAACCACCUCCGGCGCCAAAUAGAACUGGCAGACAUAGACAUUCAGUACAAGAAGAAAAAGAUGGAAAAUCUUGCACUGGAGUCCGAAAUAAAAAAGAGGACAAUUAGGAAACUGGACCUUGAAAUAAAAAAACUUGAGAGGGAGCUCCAAGAAGAUGACACAGCUCAAAAUACAAAUUAGGUAUAUUCUCGUAAAGUCAAGUGAGCCAUGACAUAUGAGCUCUUAUUGUGAGCACACAGGACGGUGGCAUCUUUCUAAGGUUUUUUUUAUUUUCCCAGCAAUCAGUACAACCAAGUCAUCGUUAUAAGGCAUCGCCCUCUUUUGCCCACCCC